GAUUGGCUCCCUGCAGGUGGGACACUGGCUGGCUUUCUUCAACCAUAACUUCAUGCAGGACGAACAGAACACGUGGUGGUUGGCACAGAUGACGGGCUGCCUGACCUGCAGGAGCAAACCUGACUUGGUUAUUUAUAGGGCAUGUGAAGAGGAAAGGAGGGCAGGAGGAGAGGGGUCUUUCUGAAAACUGCAUCAGUGCAUUAUUGCCUCUGAAAUCUGAGAUCUUAUUGGAUCUGAAGGGCAGUAUGAGGCAGCAUCAACCCCUGUUUUAAGGGAUUGCUUUCAUUCAGGGAAGGAGAGGCGAAAAACCCUUCUAGCAGAGCCCAGUCCGGCUCAGCUCCUCUCCCGGUGUGCCCGUCCGCCUCGUCUCUGCAGAGGCCGGAUGACCGGUCCUCUCGGGCUGACACGCCGCCAGCCAGACCGAUGGCUGUCCUGCACCAACGCUGGUGGACCUUGAUGCAGGAAGGAGCAGCCUAGUGGCCUCUGACAUUUGCUGUGGAGAUGAGAGGAUCUUGUUCUGCAGCUGUGAUCAAACUACAGGGUCUUGACCUGCCAAUUAAGGGAAACAGUCAAGUUCCUUUCUUGCCUGGGCGGACAGUGAGCUUCGCCUCCAGCAUCGUUUCUGUCUGUCAUGAUGUCUCUCCAAAAACCACAAACUGAUCUGGUUCCUCCUAGUGCUCUGCUUGGGGAUGUCUAGAGAACCAUCAGCUUGGAUGAGAAGCACUCGUGGCUUGUUUUUUCGACAUUAGCCUGAUAGGAAAGGGGCCAUGAGAGAGGGGGGACCACAGGUUGGAUUCGAACCCAGGUCUGCCGCGUUGAGGACUAAGGCCUCCGUACAUGGGUGAUGCACGCUAACAACUGCCCCACCUGCAUAUCCAGUAAGAC
Long non-coding RNA from Cyprinodon variegatus (sheepshead minnow), 885 nucleotides. RefSeq lists it as uncharacterized. Lineage: Eukaryota; Metazoa; Chordata; Actinopteri; Cyprinodontiformes; Cyprinodontidae. The transcript has 5 exons. The record is from RefSeq and is a predicted model, not a curated record.